GCCUGUGGGCAACUCGGGACGGCAGUGCCCCCGGGUUUUGUAAACCGAAGGUCGCGGGUUCGAUUCCUGCAACCGGCACCA
RNAcentral lists this transfer RNA (81 nucleotides) under uncultured Sphingomonas sp. RNAcentral's name for it is "tRNA-Thr-TGT". Lineage: Bacteria; Pseudomonadati; Pseudomonadota; Alphaproteobacteria; Sphingomonadales; Sphingomonadaceae. The record is from RNAcentral.